Long non-coding RNA from Athalia rosae (coleseed sawfly), 2068 nucleotides. RefSeq lists it as uncharacterized. The transcript has 4 exons. Lineage: Eukaryota; Metazoa; Arthropoda; Insecta; Hymenoptera; Athaliidae. The record is from RefSeq and is a predicted model, not a curated record.
CAGAAAUUAUUGAUCUGCCAGAUACGUGGCAAGCAGCAGAAACUAGUCGGGCGAACGCCGUUCCCUGUGGCGCGCGUCUCCCCUUCUACUUUGACAUAGCUGUCUCUCUCCCUCCUGUACACACUUACUCACGCACACAGGUCGCGGGCGGGGCUAUUUUAGCUCCCUACCACCUCUACUGAGCAACACCGAGGCGUCCCCGGUUCCCGGAUCCCGCGAAAGGAAGGGAAGAUUCACACAAUUUUACCAUCCUCUUCGAUUGGCAAAAACGAAACUCCAAUUGUGACACAUAAUAUAUCUAUUUCAUCCGUCGUUUGAAUUUGGAAUUAUUCUAGUUUGAAUUUUCAGUUACAGUUCCGUCAAUUAUUCCACCUACGAUUGAUCCAACCUCAUGAAUGCAGCCUGACGAGAGAAUGAAUCAGAAUAUCAUUUACAUGACAAUAAAGAAUGAACGAAUGAAAUUUUACCCACCUCAGGUACCGUACAUCGUCUUAUGUAUUUCGAUAAUUUUCCAUUACUACUUUCUACAACGAUUAAAAUGGGACAAAGGAUUGCAUAACGUGCGGCAAAAUGGCCGUAUUAUUCUAACCUCAACAGUAAACUCAACCGUCAAAUAAAACGUCUCGAUGAUCGAGUUAUUCAUUUUUACAUAAUCAAAGAAUUAUACAAUUCUGGUAAGUUUAUAAAUAUUAUUUCUACGAGUGCAGAAAUAAAUAUUAAAGCUUCAGGUAUUUCAACAAAUAUUCCUUGUACAGUGAAAGCAUGUAUGGUAUACAUGGUAUACAAAUUUAUUUGGAAAACAUUGAAUCUAUUUGUAAGAGACAAUGAUUGGAAGAAUUUAUCCAAAAAUGUCUUAGAUCGUUAGAUAUAUUGUGAACAUAUUAAAAAUGCUUUGUAAGUUUUUCCCCUAUGUAAUAUAUACUAUAUUUCUUGUUCAUGUCCAUGCAGGUAUCGAUACUAAGGUCACGUCCCAACUUCCUGAUAUCCCAAUAUUAAACCAAAAAGGAAUCCAAUAACGAUACUCGAUUCUACGGAACUUUUGGGAGCUUUACAAUGUUUUUGCGUUGCGAUGCCUUAGGGACUGCAUCGCACAUCUACCUACCAUCGUCGGCGCAGGCGAGAGCGAGGGGUAAAUUUUGUCAUCUAGAAUCCAGAUCCCGAGACGCCUACGCUUCGAAACUCGAUAUCUUUUAAUACGGACUUCUUAAAUGGAAAAUACAAUUGCAUAGAGAAUUAUAUAUAUAUGGACCGAGGAUAUAUAAUUACAUGAUAUAGAGAGAAACAGACGCAUAUACGCUGCUAAAUACAUACCCCGCUAUAGGCUAUUUUACAUUUAGCAAAGAGGUAACAGACUGAAUCAAACUCGCUUGGCUAGGUGCGCUUCUUUUGUGUCGUCCUUACAAGUUUUUCGAUGAACGGAUGGAACCGACCAUUCUGUUGGUAAAAAUGAGAAUGGAACUCGGAAACGUUAUCCGAUCGAUGGAGCGAGGAUGGAUAGAUGGAUAAAACGUUAGUAGAAGGGGGAUUGCUUUUUUUAUUUUUUGCUUUCUGUUUGUGAUUUUUUUUUCUUUUUUUCUUGUAAUACGUAACGCUGUAUAAUUGAUACUCUAUUCGUUUCAUAUUUUUUUUUUGUUUUCUUUAACCGACGUUACAUUUAUUUUUAGCAAUGUUGAGAGAAGUGAUGACGGAAUUAACUGUAAAAUUGAUACUACAGAGUAUUAAAAUCCCACGUUUUAUCGUAGAUUGAUUAGCACCGGCUGCAGUACAAGAUAAAACUUUUAUUUUUCCUUGAAAAUCGAGAAACGAAAAGUCAAGCAAAAGAAGAAUAAUAAAUAAACCGAAGUCGCAAAAACGCUUCGUACAGUUGUGGGGGGAUUUGCAAUUCUACUAACGAAUUCGAUCGACAGUCUGUUGGAUAGCGUUGGAGACGAGUCAUCGCUAAAAAUACGGAUUUUCAAGACCCCAGUUUGCGACCCAGAGAAAACUUUUUCUCCUUCAAAUUUGAAGGGCCCCUUGAAUCGGAGAUCGCAGUAACCAAGAAAUUACAGUAUGAGUAACAGAAAAAGAA